AGUGAACGCUGGCGGUAGGCCUAACACAUGCAAGUCGAACGGCAGCACAGUAAGAGCUUGCUCUUCCGGUGGCCGAUUGGCGGACGGGGGAGGAAUACAUCGGAAUCUACUUUUUCGUGGGGGAUAAGGUAGGGAAACUUACGCUAUUACCCCUUACGACCUACGGUUGAAAGCGGGGGACCUUCGGACCUUGGGCGAUUGAAUGAGCCGAUGUCGGAUUAGCUAGUUGGCGGGGUAAAGGCCCACCAAGGCGACGAUCCGUAGCUGGUCUGAGAGGAUGAUCAGCCACACUGGAACUGAGACACGGUCCAGACUCCUACGGGAGGCAGCAGUGGGGAAUAUUGGACAAAGGGCGCAAGCCUGAUCCAGCCAUACCGCGUGGGUGAAGAAGGCCUUCGGGUUGUAAAGCCCUUUUGUUGGGAAAGAAAAGCAGCAGGUUAAUACCCCGCUGUUCUGACGGUACCCAAAGAAUAAGCACCGGCUAACUUCGUG
This 492-nucleotide ribosomal RNA is filed under the name uncultured bacterium. RNAcentral's name for it is "partial 16S ribosomal RNA". It matches the Rfam family "Bacterial small subunit ribosomal RNA", at positions 29 to 507 of the family's 1533-position model. The record is from RNAcentral.